This 833-nucleotide ribosomal RNA is filed under the name Serratia marcescens. RNAcentral's name for it is "partial 23S ribosomal RNA". It matches the Rfam family "Bacterial large subunit ribosomal RNA", at positions 380 to 1218 of the family's 2925-position model. The record is from RNAcentral. Lineage: Bacteria; Pseudomonadati; Pseudomonadota; Gammaproteobacteria; Enterobacterales; Yersiniaceae.
CUAAAAUGCACAGGUCGUGAGUUCGAUGAGUAGGGCGGGACACGUGACAUCCUGUCUGAAUAUGGGGGGACCAUCCUCCAAGGCUAAAUACUCCUGACUGACCGAUAGUGAACCAGUACCGUGAGGGAAAGGCGAAAAGAACCCCGGCGAGGGGAGUGAAAUAGAACCUGAAACCGUGUACGUACAAGCAGUGGGAGCACCUUCGUGGUGUGACUGCGUACCUUUUGUAUAAUGGGUCAGCGACUUAUAUUUUGUAGCAAGGUUAACCGUAUAGGGGAGCCGUAGGGAAACCGAGUCUUAACUGGGCGAAUAGUUGCAAGGUAUAGACCCGAAACCCGGUGAUCUAGCCAUGGGCAGGUUGAAGGUUGGGUAACACUAACUGGAGGACCGAACCGACUAAUGUUGAAAAAUUAGCGGAUGACUUGUGGCUGGGGGUGAAAGGCCAAUCAAACCGGGAGAUAGCUGGUUCUCCCCGAAAGCUAUUUAGGUAGCGCCUCGUGAACUCAUCUUCGGGGGUAGAGCACUGUUUCGGCUAGGGGGCCAUCCCGGCUUACCAAACCGAUGCAAACUCCGAAUACCGAAGAAUGUUAUCACGGGAGACACACGGCGGGUGCUAACGUCCGUCGUGAAGAGGGAAACAACCCAGACCGCCAGCUAAGGUCCCAAAGUCAUGGUUAAGUGGGAAACGAUGUGGGAAGGCAUAGACAGCCAGGAUGUUGGCUUAGAAGCAGCCAUCAUUUAAAGAAAGCGUAAUAGCUCACUGGUCGAGUCGGCCUGCGCGGAAGAUGUAACGGGGCUAAACCAUGCACCGAAGCUGCGGCAGCGACGCUUAG